RNAcentral lists this ribosomal RNA (453 nucleotides) under uncultured bacterium. RNAcentral's name for it is "bacterial SSU rRNA". It matches the Rfam family "Bacterial small subunit ribosomal RNA", at positions 28 to 507 of the family's 1533-position model. The record is from RNAcentral.
GAUGAACGCUGGCGGCGUGCCUAAUGCAUGCAAGUCGAACGGUUUGAUUUAUCAGAUAGUGGCGAACGGCUGAGUAAUGCACAGGUGACCUGCCCUCAAGUGGGGGAUAACACCGAGAAAUCGGUGCUAAUACCGCAUGUGGCUCCGGCAAUACGUUGCUGGAAUUAAAGCCUUCGGGCGCUUGAGGAGGGGCUUGUGUCCUAUCAGGUAGUUGGUAGGGUAACGGCCUACCAAGCCAUAGACGGGUAGCUGGUCUGAGAGGAUGGUCAGCCAGACAGGGAAUGAGAGACGGCCCUGACUCCUACGGGAGGCAGCAGCAAGGGAUAUUGCGCAAUGGGCGAAAGCCUGACGCAGCGACGCCGCGUGGGGGAAGAAGGCUUUCGGGUUGUAAACCCCUUUUCUUGGUGAAGAGUAAGGACGGUAGCCAAGGAAUAAGUCUCGGCUAACUACGUG